Heterocephalus glaber (naked mole-rat) is the source of this 1486-nucleotide long non-coding RNA. The record is from Ensembl. Lineage: Eukaryota; Metazoa; Chordata; Mammalia; Rodentia; Bathyergidae.
CCUGAAGUGAAAUAAUAUGCAAAUGCAACCACAUUCAGACAUACAUAUUCACAUCGUCUCCCUGAACCCUAUAAAAAUGGCGGCAUACUAUGUAGACUGUUCUGGACUUGGCUUUAUCAGUUAAACACAGGGGAUGGCAGACUGUCCCACUAGCCAAAUCCAGCCUGCCACCUGUUUCUGUACAUAGUUUUACUGGAACCUGCAUUCCCUCAUUUACAAGUUAUCUGACUGCUUUCAUGCUACAGAACUGACUAGUCACAACAGUGGCUGUGACUGGCAAAGCCUAAAGUCUUUACUGCCUGCUCCUUUAUAGAGCAGGUUUGCUUGUCUCCAAAUUAAAGGAUAUGUGUGGCCUUUCCACAUUAGUAAUGAAAGCUUCUGCACUCUGGGAGCAUAUUCUUUCCACAAUUAGGGCCUCUUAAUGCAUAUCUGGGUUGGACCUUUGUACUUACCCCAUUUUCUGCAUGUGUGGGUGUAUUUAUAGGAUGAAGUCUUAGAAGUGGAAUUGCUCAGCAAAAGCCUACAUUGAUCAUUGUAUUGCUAUUGUCAAACUGCCCUCCAUGGAGGUUGGAAGAACUUACAUUCUCACCAGUGUUAUGAACCCCACCUUUGCCAGCAAGGUGCACAGCAGGUGUCUGGGUGAGCGGGAGGUGGAUCUGCUCAUUGUGGUCCGGGGAACCCAGGCUGACAGAGCUUCUGCAGCAAUGCACACUGCCUUCUGGAAGGGAGGAGGGUGCAGUGGAUCAUGCACUGGCUUCUAAAGCUGCCACCAGGAGAUGGCAAACAUCACUCCCACUGGCGUUUCACUGUUGAAAGACUGGUGUCCGUUGAAGAAGAGGAAGAGACACCUCUCUCCUCAUGCACCCAGGAAAGGUGUGUGAGAACAUAGAGAAGCUGAUGUCUGCAACCGGCCUGCACCUUGACCUUGGACUUGCAGCCUCCAGAACUGUGAGGGAACCCUUUGUGGUGUCUGUGGUAUUUUGUGCUGGCAGCCUGAGCUAAGAAGAUUCUUUGCCAUUGAACUCUCCAAAUGAAAUAGCAUCCCACAUGCAUUUAGUAUUCUCUCUUAAUUGGAAAACUUUUCUCUGGGCUUGCCUUAAAUUGACUUCUCUCAGGCUGUGUUUGUGUUCGCUCCUGAUCGCUUGUUUCCUGAGCCCCUCCUUUAACUGGGCUUCCACAAACCUGGAUAUCUUACAGCUAUUUCAAAUAGCCACGGAUGAAAUCAGUCAGUUCUACUGAUUUUCAUGUUGUCUGUUUUAUCAGUUUUUAUCUUUACUUUUAUUUCUCUCCCUGAGUUUAAGUUGCUGCUUAUUUUCUGGCUCCUUGGGUUGGAGACUUCCUUUACUUCCAGUCUUUCUUGGUUAAUGACAAAAGCUCUCAGAGCCAUGGGCAUUUGGCUACACCCCUAAGCUUUGCUACAUGGAGUCUCAAUUGUCAUUAUGUUCAGAAUGGCCUAUAAUUGCACUCCCCCCCUUUUUUAUUCGUG